CAAAAAUGCACAUAUUGUGAGCUCGAUGAGUAGGGCGGGACACGUGGUAUCCUGUCUGAAUAUGGGGGGACCAUCCUCCAAGGCUAAAUACUCCUGACUGACCGAUAGUGAACCAGUACCGUGAGGGAAAGGCGAAAAGAACCCCGGCGAGGGGAGUGAAAAAGAACCUGAAACCGUGUACGUACAAGCAGUGGGAGCCUCUUAAUGGGGUGACUGCGUACCUUUUGUAUAAUGGGUCAGCGACUUAUAUUCUGUAGCAAGGUUAACCGAAUAGGGGAGCCGAAGGGAAACCGAGUCUUAACUGGGCGUUAAGUUGCAGGGUAUAGACCCGAAACCCGGUGAUCUAGCCAUGGGCAGGUUGAAGGUUGGGUAACACUAACUGGAGGACCGAACCGACUAAUGUUGAAAAAUUAGCGGAUGACUUGUGGCUGGGGGUGAAAGGCCAAUCAAACCGGGAGAUAGCUGGUUCUCCCCGAAAGCUAUUUAGGUAGCGCCUCGUGAAUUCAUCUCCGGGGGUAGAGCACUGUUUCGGCAAGGGGGUCAUCCCGACUUACCAACCCGAUGCAAACUGCGAAUACCGGAGAAUGUUAUCACGGGAGACACACGGCGGGUGCUAACGUCCGUCGUGAAGAGGGAAACAACCCAGACCGCCAGCUAAGGUCCCAAAGUCAUGGUUAAGUGGGAAACGAUGUGGGAAGGCCCAGACAGCCAGGAUGUUGGCUUAGAAGCAGCCAUCAUUUAAAGAAAGCGUAAUAGCUCACUGGUCGAGUCGGCCUGCGCGGAAGAUGUAACGGGGCUAAACCAUGCACCGAAGCUGCGGCAGCGACACUAUGUGUUGUUGGGUAGGGGAGCGUUCUGUAAGCCUGUGAAGGUGUACUGUGAGGUAUGCUGGAGGUAUCAGAAGUGCGAAUGCUGACAUAAGUAACGAUAAAGCGGGUGAAAAGCCCGCUCGCCGGAAGACCAAGGGUUCCUGUCCAACGUUAAUCGGGGCAGGGUGAGUCGACCCCUAAGGCGAGGCCGAAAGGCGUAGUCGAUGGGAAACAGGUUAAUAUUCCUGUACUUGGUGUUACUGCGAAGGGGGGACGGAGAAGGCUAUGUUGGCCGGGCGACGGUUGUCCCGGUUUAAGCGUGUAGGCUGGUUUUCCAGGCAAAUCCGGAAAAUCAAGGCUGAGGCGUGAUGACGAGGCACUACGGUGCUGAAGCGACAAAUGCCCUGCUUCCAGGAAAAGCCUCUAAGCAUCAGGUAACAUCAAAUCGUACCCCAAACCGACACAGGUGGUCAGGUAGAGAAUACCAAGGCGCUUGAGAGAACUCGGGUGAAGGAACUAGGCAAAAUGGUGCCGUAACUUCGGGAGAAGGCACGCUGAUAUGUAGGUGAAGCGACUUGCUCGUGGAGCUGAAAUCAGUCGAAGAUACCAGCUGGCUGCAACUGUUUAUUAAAAACACAGCACUGUGCAAACACGAAAGUGGACGUAUACGGUGUGACGCCUGCCCGGUGCCGGAAGGUUAAUUGAUGGGGUUAGCGGUAACGCGAAGCUCUUGAUCGAAGCCCCGGUAAACGGCGGCCGUAACUAUAACGGUCCUAAGGUAGCGAAAUUCCUUGUCGGGUAAGUUCCGACCUGCACGAAUGGCGUAAUGAUGGCCAGGCUGUCUCCACCCGAGACUCAGUGAAAUUGAACUCGCUGUGAAGAUGCAGUGUACCCGCGGCAAGACGGAAAGACCCCGUGAACCUUUAC
This 1736-nucleotide ribosomal RNA is filed under the name Escherichia coli. Its description in RNAcentral is "partial 23S ribosomal RNA". It matches the Rfam family "Bacterial large subunit ribosomal RNA", at positions 380 to 2104 of the family's 2925-position model. The record is from RNAcentral. Lineage: Bacteria; Pseudomonadati; Pseudomonadota; Gammaproteobacteria; Enterobacterales; Enterobacteriaceae.